RNAcentral lists this ribosomal RNA (889 nucleotides) under Thelephora ganbajun. Its description in RNAcentral is "partial large subunit ribosomal RNA". It matches the Rfam family "Eukaryotic large subunit ribosomal RNA", at positions 57 to 931 of the family's 3401-position model. The record is from RNAcentral. Lineage: Eukaryota; Fungi; Basidiomycota; Agaricomycetes; Thelephorales; Thelephoraceae.
AAAAGAAACUAACAAGGAUUCCCCUAGUAACUGCGAGUGAAGCGGGAAGAGCUCAAAUUUAAAAUCUGGCGUGCCUCUGGUCGUCCGAGUUGUAGUCUGGAGAAGCGUUUUCUGUGUCGGACCGUGUAUAAGUCUCUUGGAACAGGGCGUCAUAGAGGGUGAGAAUCCCGUCUUUGACACGGACCACCGAUGCUUUGUGAUGCGCUCUCAAAGAGUCGAGUUGUUUGGGAAUGCAGCUCAAAACGGGUGGUAAAUUCCAUCUAAAGCUAAAUAUAGGCGAGAGACCGAUAGCGAACAAGUACCGUGAGGGAAAGAUGAAAAGCACUUUGGAAAGAGAGUUAAACAGUACGUGAAAUUGCUGAAAGGGAAACGCUUGAAGUCAGUCAUGUCUGCCAGGACUCAGCCUUGCUUCUGCUUGGUGUACUUUCUGGUCGGAUGGGCCAGCAUCGAUUUUGACCGUUGGAGAAAGGCUUUGGGAAUGUGGCACCUUUGGGUGUGUUAUAGCCCUUUGUUGUAUACAACGGUUGGGAUCGAGGACCGCAGCACGCCUUCAUGGCCGGGGUUUGCCCACGUACGUGCUUAGGAUGUUGGCGUAAUGGCUUUAAGCGACCCGUCUUGAAACACGGACCAAGGAGUCUAACAUGCCUGCAAGUGUUUGGGUGGAAAACCCAUGCGCGUAAUGAAAGUGACGGCUGAGAUCCUCUCAUCAGGAGCAUCAGCGCCUGGACUCGAUCUACGGAGACGGUUCUACGGUAGAGCAUGUAUGUUGGGACCCGAAAGAUGGUGAACUAUGCCUGAAUAGGGUGAAGCCAGAGGAAACUCUGGUGGAGGCUCGUAGCGAUUCUGACGUGCAAAUCGAUCGUCAAAUUUGGGUAUAGGGGCGAAAGAC